This 525-nucleotide ribosomal RNA is filed under the name uncultured eukaryote. RNAcentral describes it as "SSU rRNA". It matches the Rfam family "Eukaryotic small subunit ribosomal RNA", at positions 22 to 548 of the family's 1831-position model. The record is from RNAcentral.
AGUCAUAUGCUUGUCUCAAAGAUUAAGCCAUGCAUGUCUGAGUUUAAGCUAAUUUUUGGUGAAACUGCGAAUGGCUCAUUAUAUCAGUUAUAAUAUGCUCAAUAACCUAGCUUACAUGGAUAACUGUGGUAAUUCUAGAGCUAAUACAUGCACACAAACCUGACCUUCAAGUAUGGUUGUGUUUAUUGACUUCAAAACCAACUCAAGCUCUGCUUGAUGUUUUGUAUGACUGAUGAUAAAUUAAUGAAUUGCGUGGCACAUGCUGGCAAUGAAUUGUUUUAGUUUCUGACCUAUCAGCUUCCGACGGUAAAGUAUGGGCUUACCGUGGCAGUGACGGGUGACGGAGAAUUAGGGUUUGAUUCCGGAGAGGGAGCCUGAGAAAUGGCUACCACAUCUAAGGAAGGCAGCAGGCGCGCAAAUUACCCAAUCUUGGCAUAGGGAGGUAGUGACAAGAAAUAACAAUACAGGGCAUCCAUGUUUUGUAAUUGGAAUGGACAGAUGUUAACUUUCUCUGUGAGUAUCAAU